Molecule: non-coding RNA, 90 nt
Filed under: Alcaligenes faecalis
Lineage: Bacteria; Pseudomonadati; Pseudomonadota; Betaproteobacteria; Burkholderiales; Alcaligenaceae
Description: Glycine riboswitch
Rfam family: Glycine riboswitch aptamer
About the family: This family represents the bacterial glycine riboswitch.
Source: RNAcentral
ACACUCUGGAGAGCGGCGCAUGACGCCCACCGAAGGAGCCCAGCCUGAUACAUCGGUUGGAUAAACUCUCAGGUCACAGGACAGAUGGGG